Molecule: transfer RNA, 76 nt
Filed under: Toxarium undulatum
Lineage: Eukaryota; Bacillariophyta; Thalassiosirophyceae; Ardissoneales; Ardissoneaceae
Description: tRNA-Met
Rfam family: tRNA
About the family: Transfer RNA (tRNA) molecules are approximately 80 nucleotides in length.
Source: RNAcentral
UGUUAAAGUAGAGCAACGGUAGCUCAUUUAGGCUCAUGGCUUAAAAACGUGCAGGUUCAAAUCCUGCCUUUAACAU